AACGUAGGGGACAAGCGUUAUCCGGAUUUACUGGGCGUAAAGCGCCCGUAGGCGGCCUGACAAGUUGGACGUGAAAGCUCCUGGCUUAACUGGGAGAGGCCGUUCAAAACUGUCAAGCUAGAGUCUGGAAGAGGAGAGCGGAAUUCCCGGUGUAGUGGUGGAAUGCGUAGAGAUCGGGAGGAACACCAGUGGCGAAGGCAGGUCUCUGGGCAUUAACUGACGCUGAGGAGCGAAAGCAUGGGGAGCGAACAGG
Molecule: ribosomal RNA, 253 nt
Filed under: uncultured bacterium
Lineage: Bacteria
Description: partial 16S ribosomal RNA
Rfam family: Bacterial small subunit ribosomal RNA
Source: RNAcentral